RNAcentral lists this ribosomal RNA (481 nucleotides) under uncultured bacterium. Its description in RNAcentral is "partial 16S ribosomal RNA". It matches the Rfam family "Bacterial small subunit ribosomal RNA", at positions 28 to 507 of the family's 1533-position model. The record is from RNAcentral.
GAUGAACGCUGGCGGCGUGCCUAACACAUGCAAGUCGAACGGAGAUUACGGACGGAAGUUUUCGGAUGGAAGCCUGUAAUUCUUAGUGGCGGACGGGUGAGUAACGCGUGGGCAACCUGCCCUAUACAGGGGGAUAGCAGCUGGAAACGGCUGGUAAGACCGCAUAAGUCGGUUAAAUCGCAUGAUUUGAUCGGGAAAUGAGCAAUCAGGUAUAGGAUGGGCCCGCGUCCGAUUAGCCAGUUGGCAGGGUAAAAGCCUACCAAAGCGACGAUCGGUAGCCGGACUGAGAGGUCGGACGGCCACAUUGGGACUGAGACACGGCCCAAACUCCUACGGGAGGCAGCAGUGGGGGAUAUUGCACAAUGGAGGAAACUCUGAUGCGGCGACGCCGCGUGAGUGAAGAAGUAUUUCGGUAUGUAAAGCUCUAUCAGCAGGGAAGAUGAUGACGGUACCUGACUAAGAAGCCCCGGCUAACUACGUG